AAAAAAAAUUGAGAAGGUAACUACGGACUUCAUUGGUCUAUUGUUAAUACAUAAUGAGACGAUACAGUGAAAGAACUCUCCAAAUGACAAAGCACUAUCUCCAUCUAAGAAUAUCGCUUCUGUUGCAUCAUAGUGAAGUAGUUCCACAGGUGUUUCUGCUCGGACUGACUGGUUCAAAUCUCGGCUGUACUGCCAGGAUUUAAGACACUUUGAAAAUGGGCAAAGCCUCAUUUUUCCUAGGUCAAAAGGAGUUCAAGAUUGGGGAAAUCUGAGGAUUCAGAAGGAUGAUAAAUGUUAGAACAUGGAAUCAGGGUGCUUAGAUUCUUGGUGCCUCAAUUUCUCUGUCAGUUAAAUGCCGUAUGAUCAAAUGACUCUUUUCUCAUUGGCUUGAUGUGAGAAAGAAAUGACUACAUAUAAUAAUCAGCAACAUUCCUGGCACAUAGUAAACAUCGAUGUAUUAUUAUUAAUACCUCCACCUACGCUAUAUACUGACUCUCUAUCCUCCCUCUCUUCCUCCUUCCCUGGAUCUUAAAAGAUGAGUGUGAUUAGAAACAAAAUUUUGUUGUGAUAAAGUCCACCUGAAUGUUCCCUCAGAUACUAACUAAAUCUCUUUCACAUGCAACCUUUGGACAAAAGUCUCUUCCUUUUUGCUAGGAAUUUUCCUAUUUUUCUCAUUUCUUCUCCUCCUGCUUUAGGAAAGAAAAAAAAAGCAUAUGCAAGAAUUAUUUUUUCUUCUCCCCAGAUGUCACCAGCACUAACACCUGUCCUAGUUCCAGCUCUGGUGAACUCCAGCAGACCUGCUCAAGUGGACAGCAUUAGGGACCUUGUCAGUUUUGCAGUGCUUUUUGCCUGAAGCCACCUCAGGUCCCUCAUGCUGCAGAAUGUGAAGGAGCAAGUCUCUCAAUUGGCUAAUUGAAUCAAGCUCUGCAAUUUCCUUCUUCCCUGGAGCCUGAUCCUGCAGGACAAGGAUCUAUUUUCAAGUCAAUUACAAUUCCUAAGGGAUAUAAUUACCUACAAAAUCAGCAAAGGAACCCUAUUUCUCUUAUGGUGCAGAGCAAAACCAGUGUGGCUGGAAAGGAGAAAGAAGGAAAGGGGGCUUCAAGCAAGAUCAUGUGCAUUGUCAGACUUCAGAUCAUCCAAGGCCUUGUAAGAUUAGGGGACUUUUUUUUUUUUUUGCAUAAGUCAUAAAGAAAUCACUGUGGGGGAAUCAAACACUAAACAGGUAUGCAAGAUAAUUUCAGAUAAAGUAUAUGAAACAAAAAUGGGAUAGAGCAAGUUUAGAGGAGAUAAUGAUGAGGAAUGUCCUCUCUGAGGAGGUGACAUUUGAACGGAGACCUGAAUGGGACAAAAGGGCUAGUGGAGAAGAGAUCUGAAGAAAGAGCAUUUCAAGCAUUAGAGUAAAUAGGGCAAAAAUCAGGAAGCAGGACUGUGCUGUUUGUUUAAUACACAGAAAGAAAGAAAUGGUUAACUGGAAUUUGGACUCGGGACUUGAGUUCAAAUUCAAAGUUAUUUAUGCUGCCCCCAAAUGCGACUACCUAACUGAGCCUGCUGUUUGCUAAGGAUUAGGGGCUUUCUCUGUUUCACUAGAUGGUAAGUACCUGAGCAUAGGGACCAUGUCUUCCCACUUAUUUCUGCAAACUUAGUAUCUGGGCCCUGUCUAGUACCUGUUAGACUCUCAGUAAAUAUUCAUUGAAUGAAAACAUCUCUACAAUUACAAUACCCUGACUGUAUAUCUACUGUUAAAAUUCUAAGACUAGAAAAAAACAAUUUAAAUGUUGAAAUUCAGUCAGCCAAUUGGUAAUUUAAUAACCCAACUAAAAAAAAAAACCCAGAAGACAAAAUAGUCAAACCAUUUCUAAGAGUAGCUGCAGACUAAAUAACAAGAAAAGAAAAAAAUUAUCUAAAGCAACGCUUCUCAACGUCAGUGCUAUUAGCAUUUGGGGCUGAAUAAUUCUUGGUCAUGGGAGCUGUCCUGAGCAUUAUUUAGUGGCAUCGUUAGUCGCUACUCAAUAGUUACUGGUAGCAUUCCCCUCUUGCGACAACCCAAAAUGUCUGCAGACAUUGCCAGAUGGCCCUAUUGAGAACACUGGUAUGAAAGUAUUAAUGCCAUGCCACUUUCUAAAAUGUUGCAGAAGUUGUUGUGCCACCCAGUGGGUUUUCAGUUGAUUUGUGUGCAAAGUUUUACCAAGAGGUAUGAUAAAUAUGUCC
RNAcentral lists this long non-coding RNA (2208 nucleotides) under Homo sapiens (human). Its description in RNAcentral is "HSALNT0312329". The record is from RNAcentral. Lineage: Eukaryota; Metazoa; Chordata; Mammalia; Primates; Hominidae.